RNAcentral lists this ribosomal RNA (448 nucleotides) under uncultured bacterium. RNAcentral's name for it is "bacterial SSU rRNA". It matches the Rfam family "Bacterial small subunit ribosomal RNA", at positions 331 to 795 of the family's 1533-position model. The record is from RNAcentral.
CCAGACUCCUACGGGAGGCAGCAGUGGGGAAUAUUGCACAAUGGGGGGAACCCUGAUGCAGCGACGCCGCGUGAGUGAAGAAGUAUUUCGGUAUGUAAAGCUCUGUCAGCAGGGAAGAAGAAAGACGGUACCUGACCAAGAAGCCCCGGCUAACUACGUGCCAGCAGCCGCGGUAAUACGUAGGGGGCAAGCGUUAUCCGGAAUUACUGGGUGUAAAGGGAGCGUAGACGGUUAAGCAAGUCUGGAGUGAAAGGCGGGGGCCCAACCCCCGGACUGCUCUGGAAACUGUGUAACUAGAGUGCAGGAGAGGUAAGCGGAAUUCCUAGUGUAGCGGUGAAAUGCGUAGAUAUUAGGAGGAACACCAGUGGCGAAGGCGGCUUACUGGACUGUAACUGACGUUGAGGCUCGAAAGCGUGGGGAGCAAACAGGAUUAGAUACCCCCGUAACA